UUGACUUGAAAAUUAGGUCAUAUUUGAGAAAAACCCCUUUGUUAUAUUAUACUCAUUUUGUUUUAUAAUAAGUGUCACUUUAAGUUUUUUAUUUUGUUUCAAAAUAAAUGUCAUUUUACAUUUUCAAUGUAAAUUUGUACAUUCAAUCUACUUUUUACCCUUUUGAAUAACCAAUAGAUUUUUAUUUAAAUCAUUCUCAUUUAAUUAAUCAUACAUUAAAUAGUAAUAUAUUAGUCUACUACACAUUUUUUUUAAUUUAGGUGAAAAUGUCAAAAUGAUACUUAUAAUGAAAUGGAUGGAGUAUUGCGAAAGUAUAUUCAACAACUUUGUAUUCACUAUUCCGAACAACAAAAA
This 354-nucleotide long non-coding RNA is filed under the name Brassica napus (rape). RNAcentral's name for it is "long non-coding RNA (BNAP_LNC003312)". The record is from RNAcentral. Lineage: Eukaryota; Viridiplantae; Streptophyta; Magnoliopsida; Brassicales; Brassicaceae.